AGGAAAAAAAUUGCAUCAGCCCCUCUGGCUGCAGGACUUAGGAUGAUGGAAUUUUCACAGGGUUGCCAUCCAGCUUUGUGUUCCUUUUAGCAAAUCUGCUUGAGUGUGAUCUUGAAAACUGUGCUUGGGUUCUGAAAACUGCAGAUAUUGAAAGGCUCUUAAAACACUGCUAAGUUUCCAACGCUCAGGAUGAUGGGAGGAGAUACACAGCUGCUAAGUAGUAAUGUAUUUGGGAGUUAUGCCAACAGGUUGAACAAGUUGUGAGUGUGGAAGAGUCCGGAAGGAUGUGCUGUCUGAACAGACUGCCCCGUUUCAUGGAAAGCCAAAUUAGUUCCCUCAGGCGUUCUUGGUAGCACAGUGCAGCAGUAAGCAAAAGUUCUUCUGAAAUAAUAGCAGAAAUAAUAACUACUUAU
Long non-coding RNA from Passer domesticus (house sparrow), 413 nucleotides. RefSeq lists it as uncharacterized. Lineage: Eukaryota; Metazoa; Chordata; Aves; Passeriformes; Passeridae. The transcript has 4 exons. The record is from RefSeq and is a predicted model, not a curated record.